GGGGGCGUCACGGCUUCGACGCGUUUGGUGAACAUGGAGCAGCGUGCCGAGGUUCCCGGAACCUCGUUAAACUUCUGGGAAAAUCAUAAUUGCCAACACUGAAAUGGCAUUGGCUGCGUAACUACGGUUUGUAGCCCGUCUCCUGAUUUACCUGCCCGAGGUGGAUCUCCGAGGCGUCGAUGAUUCGGGCUGGUCUCACACCAGUGCUAUUCUGGUGAGGGAUGAGAUUAUCAGAUAGCUAGCUUGGAUUCGAUUGCUCGCUCUUCGUUCCAAGUAAAUUAUCGAGCGAUGCUACGCACGUAGAAACUCUGUAGGAUCGAUUCGCGGACGCGGGUUCGACUCCCGCCGCCUCCAU
This 355-nucleotide transfer-messenger RNA is filed under the name marine eukaryotic metagenome. It matches the Rfam family "transfer-messenger RNA". Rfam says of the family: Bacterial tmRNA, also known as 10Sa RNA or SsrA, is named for its dual tRNA and mRNA-like properties. Its role is to liberate the mRNA from a stalled ribosome. To accomplish this part of the tmRNA is used as a reading frame that ends in a translation stop signal. The record is from RNAcentral.